GAAAACCAACCAACCACUUGGCCACACAUGUAAAAACUACUCAGCCUCUAUGCAAUCUAUCCCCUUUGACAAGCCCGUACUGGCCUCUUGGUGUCUGUCCACUUCUACCUGGUAAGUUGGCCCUUCAGGAACUACACCUGGCCAAAUUACAGGCUGAAAGAUUAUGAUAGAAAUGUCAUUAAUUCAAGCUAUGCAUUCCCACUGACUCAGCUGUGCCCUUCACAGCUGUAACUGAUAAAGGUCUGGACGUGCAGUUCACAGCAGAGGAGAGAGACUGUGGCUGCUCUGGACACAUCUGGACGACAGGCACCCAGCCCUCAAGAUGCUGUCUGCCAGCUAGGUGGAAACACCUCAUGUGAAUGGGCCCAUUUGCUUCCUCUCCACUCCAAAAGGGGAUGAGAAGAGGAAUGUUGAAAUCUCAAUAUACCACAGGCAGCUAACAGCUCAGGAGAGGAUCGUGCUCCAAAUGUUCAUCGAGCCAAUUAUUGGGACUUCUCU
This 498-nucleotide long non-coding RNA is filed under the name Pan troglodytes (chimpanzee). RNAcentral describes it as "long non-coding RNA NONPTRT008006". Lineage: Eukaryota; Metazoa; Chordata; Mammalia; Primates; Hominidae. The record is from RNAcentral.